Molecule: ribosomal RNA, 474 nt
Filed under: uncultured bacterium
Lineage: Bacteria
Description: bacterial SSU rRNA
Rfam family: Bacterial small subunit ribosomal RNA
Source: RNAcentral
GAUGAACGCUAGCUACAGGCUUAACACAUGCAAGUCGAGGGGAAACGACAUCGAAAGCUUGCUUUCGAUGGGCGUCGACCGGCGCACGGGUGAGUAACGCGUAUCCAACCUGCCCACCACUUGGGGAUAACCUUGCGAAAGUAAGACUAAUACCCGAUGAUAUCUCUAGAAGACAUCUGAAAGGGAUUAAAGAUUUAUCGGUGAUGGAUGGGGAUGCGUCUGAUUAGCUAGUUGGUGGGGCAACGGCCUACCAAGGCGACGAUCAGUAGCCGGUCUGAGAGGAUGAACGGCCACAUUGGAACUGAGACACGGUCCAGACUCCUACGGGAGGCAGCAGUGGGGAAUAUUGGGCAAUGGGCGAAAGCCUGACCCAGCAACGCCGCGUGAAGGAAGAAGGCCUUCGGGUUGUAAACUUCUUUUAAGAGGGACGAAGAAGUGACGGUACCUCUUGAAUAAGCCACGGCUAACUACGUG